GAUGAACGCUGGCGGUAUGCUUAACACAUGCAAGUCGAACGGACUCUUCGGAGUUAGUGGCGGACGGGUGAGUAACGCGUGAGAAUCUGGCUUUGGGUUCGGGACAACCACUGGAAACGGUGGCUAAUACCGGAUGUGCCGAGAGGUAAAAGAGAAAUUGCCUGAAGAUGAGCUCGCGUCUGAUUAGCUAGUUGGUGAGGUAAAGGCUCACCAAGGCAGCGAUCAGUAGCUGGUCUGAGAGGAUGACCAGCCACACUGGGACUGAGACACGGCCCAGACUCCUACGGGAGGCAGCAGUGGGGAAUUUUCCGCAAUGGGCGAAAGCCUGACGGAGGAAUACCGCGUGAGGAAAGAAGGCUCUUGGGUUGUAAACCUCUUUUCUUAGGGAAGAACAAAAUGACGGUACCUAAGGAAUCAGCAUCGGCUAACUCCGUG
RNAcentral lists this ribosomal RNA (435 nucleotides) under uncultured bacterium. Its description in RNAcentral is "partial 16S ribosomal RNA". It matches the Rfam family "Bacterial small subunit ribosomal RNA", at positions 28 to 507 of the family's 1533-position model. The record is from RNAcentral.